Molecule: ribosomal RNA, 777 nt
Filed under: uncultured Neocallimastigales
Lineage: Eukaryota; Fungi; Neocallimastigomycota; Neocallimastigomycetes; Neocallimastigales
Description: partial large subunit ribosomal RNA
Rfam family: Eukaryotic large subunit ribosomal RNA
Source: RNAcentral
UACUAGAGUAGCACUCGCAUAUCAAUAAGCGGAGGAAAAGAAACUAACAAGGAUUCCCCUAGUAACGGCGAGUGAAGCGGGAAGAGCUCAAAUUUGAAAUCUUAAAGGGUUUCCCUUUACGAAUUGUAGUUUAAAGAAGUGUUCUCUGUUGAGGUUUUGGUAAAAGUUCUUUGGAAUAGGACAUCAUAGAGGGUGAGAAUCCCGUAUUUGACCUUUACUUUCAACUUUGUGAUACACUUUCAAAGAGUCGGAUUGUUUGGGAAUGCAGUCCAAAAUGGGUGGUAAAUUUCAUCUAAAGCUAAAUAUUGGCGAGAGACCGAUAGCGAACAAGUACCGUGAGGGAAAGAUGAAAAGAACUUUGAAAAGAGAGUUAAACAGUACGUGAAAUUGUCAAAAGGGAAACGUUUGACACCAGUGUUGUUUUCUCUGAAAAUCAAUUAAAGAGCUGUUUAUGCUAAGUUGUUUAGACUUUAUCAGCUAACUGUUUAGUUUUGAGCUUUUCUUUAAUGCACUUUUCAGUUAACAAGUCAACAUCAAUUUCUUUUGCUGUAAAAAAGCUUGAGGAAGGUGGCUUGAGAUUCGUCUUAAGUGUUUAUAGCCUCUUGCCUAUGCAGUCGGAGAGAUUGAGGUCUGCAGCGUAGAUCCUUCGGGGCUAAAUGCAUUUGUGCUAAGUUAUAGUAUUUUAUAGACAACUUGCUGACUAUGAUUUGUCUUGUAGCUUACUCGCAUUACUGUUAUUUUACCUACGCUUAGGAUGUUGAAGACUCUACAGAGAUA